GGAAGUGAACCAUCUCAGUACCCCCAGGAACAGAAAGCAACAGCGAUUCCCCCAGUAGCGGCGAGCGAACGGGGAACAGCCCAAACCUCUGGCGUGUCAAGCCCGCAAGCGUUGCGCCGGGGGGGUAGUGGGAGCUGCCUGGUUCUUUUGCGGAAGGACCAAGGAGUUACAAACUUGACGGUUAACUGAACGACCUGGAACGGUCGGCGAUACAGGGUAACAGCCCCGUAAGUGAAAACUGAUCAAGCUCCUGGCAGUUUCCCAAGUACCACGGGACACGAGAAAUCCUGUGGGAAUCCGGGAGGACCAUCUUCCAAGGCUAAAUACUCUCCUGCGACCGAUAGUGAACUAGUACCGUGAGGGAAAGGUGAAAAGAACCCCUAUUAGGGGAGUGAAAUAGUACCUGAAACCGUAUGUCUACAAGCAGUGGAAGGGCUAUGGCCUUCGGGCAAUGCCCGACCGCGUGCCUUUUGCAUAAUGAGCCGGCUAGUUA
This 493-nucleotide ribosomal RNA is filed under the name uncultured Acidobacteriota bacterium. RNAcentral's name for it is "bacterial LSU rRNA". It matches the Rfam family "Bacterial large subunit ribosomal RNA", at positions 189 to 630 of the family's 2925-position model. Lineage: Bacteria; Pseudomonadati; Acidobacteriota. The record is from RNAcentral.